Molecule: ribosomal RNA, 414 nt
Filed under: uncultured prokaryote
Description: bacterial SSU rRNA
Rfam family: Bacterial small subunit ribosomal RNA
Source: RNAcentral
UGGGGAAUAUUGGACAAUGGGCGCAAGCCUGAUCCAGCCAUGCCGCGUGGGUGAAGAAGGCCUUCGGGUUGUAAACCCCUUUCACCGGUGACGAUGAUGACGGUAGCCGGAGAAGAAGCCCCGGCUAACUCCGUGCCAGCAGCCGCGGUAAUACGGAGGGGGCGAGCGUUGUUCGGAAUUACUGGGCGUAAAGGGCGCGUAGGCGGUUUGCCAAGUUGAGGGUGAAAUCCCGGGGCUCAACCCCGGAACUGCCUUCAAAACUGGCCGACUUGAGUCCGGAAGAGGAGAGUGGAAUUCCCAGUGUAGAGGUGAAAUUCGUAGAUAUUGGGAAGAACACCGGUGGCGAAGGCGACUCUCUGGUCCGGUACUGACGCUGAGGUGCGAAAGCGUGGGGAGCAAACAGGAUUAGAUACC